Long non-coding RNA from Pyrus x bretschneideri (Chinese white pear), 2125 nucleotides. RefSeq lists it as uncharacterized. The record is from RefSeq and is a predicted model, not a curated record. The transcript is spliced from 2 exons. NCBI's taxonomy places the organism in Eukaryota, Viridiplantae, Streptophyta, Magnoliopsida, Rosales, Rosaceae.
CAUAAAUUGUGUUUGGUUAGAAAAAAGAGUUUUUUAUUUUAUUUUUUUCCUUCAAUUGUGGAUCAAAAACAAAAGAAAGCAAAAGCAGGUUAGACUCUAAAAGAGCACUUUUUUUCAUAGAAGCGCGUAAAAAUUGGCAAUUAAUGAAACAUUUGCGCUGACAAUACUAUCCUUUUCUCCUAUGCUUCGUUUAAUUUCCAGCUUUCCCUAUUUCUCUCGCACUCUCUCCUCUCCCUCUCAUCUGGUUCGAGCACAGACCCAUCUAUCCUCUUCAUUUCCUCUAGUUCAAGCACUCUUCACCAACAACAGGUGAGUUUUCUUUCGUUUCAAUUUCUAAUUUGCUUAUUUUGACAAUUUAUUGUUGGAAUAUUGAAAUAUUGAACUGAUUCAACUAUAAGUCAUUUUCUUCAUUUUUCUGCAAUUGAUUUUUGUUCCAAAAUUUUUGAAAUUUGCUGAUUAAUUUGCUUAAAUUCUAUUUUUAAUUAAUUUUUGGGACUUGAGGUGGACUAAUUUCUUUGGUUAAUUUGGUUAGAAUCGUUUUUUUCCCGUAUAAUUAGUUGAUUAGUUGUAAUUUAGUUCGGUGAUUAGUUUUUGGAUGAUACUGGAAGAUUUGAUUGCUGUUAAAUUAAAUUUACAUAGACAUGGAUACUUUCUUUCAUGUGGUAUCAGCCAAAACAUGUCUGCAACAUAAAUUUACACCGGCAUGUGGAUAAUGAGCUUUUCAAAAGUAGUUUUUUUAUUUGGACCAAAAGAUAAAAAAAUAGUAUGAGUCGCAUGAAAUGGAAGAUUACAGAAUCAUAGUAAGCAUAUGAUUUUGAGCAGGCAAUGAACAUCUCAGAGCCUUAUCUCUGGCUCAUAAUUACAAUUAUGGUAUGUAAGUCUUGAUGAUGUUGUGGUUUUUUUUGCUUUAUUGCGUGACUUGUUGUGGUCUCCAUCCCAGAGCUAUAUACAUCAUAGAGCUUCUGAUGUUGUUGUGGUCUCCAUUGAACUUUGUGUCUUGUUUUGCUCUAUCAUUAAAAUUCAAAGUUUUCAAGCCCUUUUCAUUAGUUUUCCUUUAAUAUUAUAUAUAUAAGGAUGGCAAAAAACAUGGGAACAUCAGCAAGAGCUCCACAUGGUAAAUGCAAUGAUCAGAAUAUAUCCGUAUUCAGUGAGUUAUGCAUCAAGGAUGUGGAGGCUGGACAUCGUCUUGGCCCUCACUUUAACAAAGAAAGAUCGGCAAAUUUGAUAGAAAACUUUAGGAAAGAAACAGCAAAUUCUUAUAGUAAAGCGCAAUUGAAAAAUAAGUGAGAUAGACUUAAAAAGGAUUGGUAGUUGUGCAAAAAACUAAUUGGGAAAGAAACUAGCCUAGAGUGGAAUCCAAGCAAGGGAACAGUGGAUGCCUCUGAUGAAUGGUGGAAUAAUAAGAUUCAGAUAAAUCCUGAAUAUGGAAGAUUGCAGAAAGGCAUCACUCCUGAGUUCGAGGAAAAGUUGGAUAGGAUGCUCUCAAACAGCAUUGCUAUUGGUGCAAAUGCUUGGGAACCUUCAUUUGGUGCACUACUACCAAAUAGUAGGGAGGAAUCAAUAGGAAAUGUUAAUAUACAAAAUGAAUCUAUUGGAUCGGAUGAUGAGGAGAGUGCACCACCCAAUCUAUGAGAAAAUGUGCUAAGAAAGGAAAAAAAAAAAAAGAGCUGACCAAGGUGAAUUGAGAACAAAUAAGUUUGACAGGAAAGGGAAAAAGGUUGGCGGUGCUGCAAAAUUGUAUGGUCAAAUUGACUGCCUUAUUUGUGCAGUAGAGGGUAAGAGCACUAUGAGGCAAUUGAUGAUAGGCACUAGUAUUCCUGAAGUUGUGCAGGUUGUUGAACCGUUACCUGGUUGUGAGCGUACUAGCCCGUUGUGGCUGUUUGCAGCUCGUUGGUUUUUUAAUCAAGAGAAGAGAGAGAUAUUCUCUAUCAUUAAAGAUCCUAGUGUGCAACUUACUAGGCUGAAUUAUGAGUUCAUCAACCAAUGAGGGAGUUGUAGUUUUACAAAACAUUCUAGAUUUGUACACUCUUAGUCAGAUUUUAGGAUUACGUCUUAGAAUUGGUUUGUCACCUUUCUUGAAUGUUAUUUUGAAUUAUGAGUUAAUUUUUAGAUACUUUGUUUUCAA